RNAcentral lists this small RNA (919 nucleotides) under uncultured Gemmatimonas sp. RNAcentral describes it as "bacterial SSU rRNA". The stretch from base 1 to 472 matches the Rfam family "Bacterial small subunit ribosomal RNA", at positions 1064 to 1533 of the family's 1533-position model. Lineage: Bacteria; Pseudomonadati; Gemmatimonadota; Gemmatimonadia; Gemmatimonadales; Gemmatimonadaceae. The record is from RNAcentral.
GUCGUGAGAUGUUGGGUUAAGUCCCGCAACGAGCGCAACCCUCAUCUCCAGUUACCAGCGGGUAAUGCCGGGGACUCUGGAGGGACUGCCGGUGCCAAACCGGAGGAAGGUGGGGACGACGUCAAGUCAUCAUGGCUCUUACGUCCAGGGCUACACACGUGCUACAAUGGCCGAGACAGAGGGUCGCGAACCCGCGAGGGGGAGCCAAUCCCCAAACUCGGCCUCAGUUCGGAUUGGAGGCUGCAACUCGCCUCCAUGAAGCUGGAAUCGCUAGUAAUCGUGGAUCAGCUACGCCACGGUGAAUACGUUCCCGGGCCUUGUACACACCGCCCGUCACGCCAUGGAAGCUGUGAGCGCCCGAAGUCGGUGUCGGAACCCGCAAGGGACCAAGCCGCCUAAGGCGAGCGCAGUGACUGGGGCGAAGUCGUAACAAGGUAGCCGUAGGGGAACCUGCGGCUGGAUCACCUCCUUAACGGAGCAGCGAGUAGGCGACUCCCGAGCGCGCAAGCGUGAGGGGCCGUACGAAAGCGCAUCCCGUAUGUCGCUCGCCUCCACACCCGAUCUCACGUUCGAUUUCUUCAUUGCAGUCUGGCGGCCGCUCCGUGGAAUGGGCGGCCGCGCACGACUUCAGCUGUUUGACAACGGAAUGGGAAGUGUUCGUGGGAUAGCGAAUCAACACUAGUGAUUAAAGUUUUCGCCGUAUGGGACGGAUCACGGGGUUGGACAACCGGGAUCACGUUCCGGACCGAUCGAAAAAACCGAAUCACUCGUAAGUAGAUCGCGCGUGCUCUGCUUGCCACUGAUGUGGUCAAGCGAGCGAAGGCAUGUGGAGAAUGCCUGGGCACACGAAGGCGACGAAGGCCGUGGUAAGCUGCGAUAAGCUCGGGGGAGCGGCAAACACGCGAUGAUCCCGAGAUGG